GACGAACGCUGGCGGCGUGCUUAACACAUGCAAGUCGAGCGGUAAGGCCCUUUCGGGGGUACACGAGCGGCGAACGGGUGAGUAACACGUGGGCGACCUACCCUCAGCUUCGGGAUAAGCCUGGGAAACUGGGUCUAAUACCGGAUAUGACCUUCCCUCGCAUGGGGGGUUGGUGGAAAGUUUUUUCGGCUGGGGAUGGGCCCGCGGCCUAUCAGCUUGUUGGGUGGGGUGAUGGCCUACCAAGGCGACGACGGGGUAGCCGGCCUGAGAGGGCGACCGGCCACACUGGGACUGAGAUACGGCCCAGACUCCCACGGGAGGCAGCAGUGGGGGAAUAUUGCGCAAUGGGCGGAAGCCUGACGCAGCGACGCCGCGUGGGGGAUG
This 384-nucleotide ribosomal RNA is filed under the name uncultured bacterium. Its description in RNAcentral is "bacterial SSU rRNA". It matches the Rfam family "Bacterial small subunit ribosomal RNA", at positions 28 to 410 of the family's 1533-position model. The record is from RNAcentral.